This 822-nucleotide long non-coding RNA is filed under the name Erythranthe guttata (spotted monkey flower). RNAcentral's name for it is "long non-coding RNA (EGUT_LNC003543)". The record is from RNAcentral. Lineage: Eukaryota; Viridiplantae; Streptophyta; Magnoliopsida; Lamiales; Phrymaceae.
UUCUAUCGUAAAACAAAAUCUCUGCUGACCGAGGACCCUAGUUUUUCUUCACCCUGCUUCAUCGUCUCGAGCCCUCUCAAUCUUGUCCGAUGCCCGAGAGAACCAUGAGCGUUGGAAUUAAACGAAAAUCGUCGCCCCUCUCAAUCUUCUCCCAUGGCCAAGAGACGGAGAAAGUUGGAAUUCGGGAUUGAAAGCAACAAACAAUUGCUUUGAUUCAUGUGUAAAAAUAUUAAGUUUCCUAUGUUUUUUCUUCUUUUUUAGGUACAUAUGAGUGUGGAUGGGAUUUUGCUGCUUUAAUGAUAAUUAUUGUUCCUUUUUUAUUUAGGUAUAUAUGAGUAUGGAACUUAUUUGAUUUGGCUUGGUUAUCUUAUAGGCAAUUCUUUUAUGCGCUGAUGUACGAUUGCGCUCAUAAGUUGGAUAAGCACUGGUUUGGAUUGGUCGAGGAUUUUGUGGCUGAGGAUUAUCAUUUUGUGUACUAUUUGGAACAAGGGAAGAUGAAUGUGGAUUGCAAUUUGGCUUUUUUGGCUCAUAGGCACUCAAGGAAGCGUGGUAAUCUCACCGACGUAGCUCGUCAAUAGGUUGAGAAACAGGGAUUUGGAACUUCUGUUUCGCUGAGGGUGGAGGUCUUAAGUUUAAUUUCUAGUGGGAAUCUUAGCUAGUUGAUUAAGUAUUUCUGUUUAAGUCGAUUUAUUUUAUUUUUUGUGAUUUGACAGGUUUUGAUCUUUUGGAUAGCUGCUAUUUUACACAUUUGAAGUGAUGUCUGAUCUUGUCAGUUUUUAUAUUGUUAAUGUUUGAAAAAUUGUUGAUUGAACUCUAUUAGGA